RNAcentral lists this ribosomal RNA (494 nucleotides) under uncultured bacterium. RNAcentral describes it as "partial 16S ribosomal RNA". It matches the Rfam family "Bacterial small subunit ribosomal RNA", at positions 28 to 507 of the family's 1533-position model. The record is from RNAcentral.
GACGAACGCUGGCGGCGUGCUUAACACAUGCAAGUCGAACGGUGAAGCGCCUUCCUUUUUGGUGGGUGUGGAUGAGUGGCGAACGGGUGAGUAACACGUGAGUAACCUGCCCCCUUCUUCUGGAUAACCGCAUGAAAGUGUGGCUAAUACGGGAUAUUCUGGGUCUGUCGCAUGAUGGGUCUGGGAAAGAUAUUGUUUCGGUGGGGGAUGGGCUCGCGGCCUAUCAGCUUGUUGGUGGGGUGAUGGCCUACCAAGGCGGGGACGGGUAGCCGGCUUGAGAGGGUGGACGGUCACACUGGGACUGAGACACGGCCGGGACUCCUACGGGAGGCAGCAGUGGAGAAUAUUGCACAGUGGGCGCAAGCCUGAUGCGGCGACGCCGCGUGAGGGAUGGAGGCCUUCGGGUUGUGAACCUCUUUCGCCAGUGAAGCAGGCCUGCCUCGUUUGUGGGUGGGUUGACGGUAGCUGGAUAAGAAGCACCGGCUAACUACGUG